UACGGAGGGUGCGAGCGUUGUCCGGAAUCAUUGGGCGUAAAGGGCGCGUAGGUGGCCUUCUAAGCGUGCGGUGAAAGCCUGGGGCUCAACCCCGGGUCGGCCGUGCGAACUGGGGGGCUUGAGCACUGUAGAGGCAGGCGGAAUUCCGGGUGUAGCGGUGAAAUGCGCAGAUAUCAGGAAGAACACCCGUGGCGAAGGCGGUUCUCUGGGACGGUACUGACGCUGAGACGCGAAAGCGUGGGGAGCGAACAGG
This 253-nucleotide ribosomal RNA is filed under the name uncultured bacterium. Its description in RNAcentral is "partial 16S ribosomal RNA". It matches the Rfam family "Bacterial small subunit ribosomal RNA", at positions 524 to 776 of the family's 1533-position model. The record is from RNAcentral.